Macrobrachium nipponense is the source of this 592-nucleotide long non-coding RNA. RefSeq lists it as uncharacterized. The record is from RefSeq and is a predicted model, not a curated record. The transcript has 3 exons. Lineage: Eukaryota; Metazoa; Arthropoda; Malacostraca; Decapoda; Palaemonidae.
UGUAGAAGAAAUGUGCAUUGGAUAUUAUGUUCACCAUUGUUUAUCAAAAACAAUUAGAUAUCAUGUUUGACAAGGAAAUAAUUGUCAACUAAAGCAAUUUGAUUAAUUUCAUGUUGAGACGCAUGUGAUGUCAUGACGAGGUGACGUCGACGGUCGACCCUGGUGGUCCGAAGCUCUGAGUGGCAACUCUCUCGACUCUUGUCUCGAGGCUCGAGCUUCCUUCUCAGUUCCCAUACUUCACUUGGACAAGAGGAUUUUUCGUGGAAUCGUGAUUCCAUCCAUUGCUUUAUUUUUGAACUGGACCAUAAAACUUGUAUGGCGUAAUGAGGGGGACAAGAAAAAUCACAGAGGGGAAAUAUAGAACGGCAAUCAGUUCUCAGUUAUCCCCGCUAAUCUGCAGUCACGCGUUGCAGCCUUCCUUGCAGGCAACUUGUAUUUUAAAUUUAUUUUAAUACGAGUGUAGACAUCUCAUAAAAAUAAUGUUCAUAUAAGAAAGGGUUGGGGCAAAACAUGCACUCUCUUAACAUGAUGGAGUUAAGUCCCGUAGAUUAUCGAUGUUCCUCAGAGGGAAAAAAAUAUGAACACACCCAAA